CAAGUCGAGCGGCAGCGCGAGUAGUUUACUACUUGGCGGCGAGCGGCGAACGGCUGAGUAACGCGUGGGAAUUUGCCCCAAAGUGAGGAAUAACUGCCCGAAAGGGUGGCUAAUGCCGCAUAUGAUCUUCGGAUUAAAGGAUUUAUCCGCUUUGGGAGAAGCCCGCGUCGGAUUAGGUAGUUGGUGAGGUAAUGGCUCACCAAGCCGACGAUCCGUAGCUGGUCUGAGAGGAUGACCAGCCAGACUGGAACUGAGACACGGUCCAGACUCC
Molecule: ribosomal RNA, 271 nt
Filed under: uncultured bacterium
Lineage: Bacteria
Description: partial 16S ribosomal RNA
Rfam family: Bacterial small subunit ribosomal RNA
Source: RNAcentral